This 766-nucleotide ribosomal RNA is filed under the name uncultured bacterium. Its description in RNAcentral is "bacterial SSU rRNA". It matches the Rfam family "Bacterial small subunit ribosomal RNA", at positions 8 to 772 of the family's 1533-position model. The record is from RNAcentral.
AGAGUUUGAUCCUGACUCAGGAUGAACGCUGGCGGCGUGCUUAACACAUGCAAGUCGAACGAAGCACUUUAUUUGAUUUCCUUCGGGACUGAUUAUUUUGUGACUGAGUGGCGGACGGGUGAGUAACGCGUGGGUAACCUGCCUUGUAUAGGGGGAUAACAGUUGGAAACGGCUGCUAAUACCGCAUAAGCGCACAGCAUCGCAUGAUGCAGUGUGAAAAACUCCGGUGGUAUAAGAUGGACCCGCGUUGGAUUAGCUAGUUGGUGAGGUAACGGCCCACCAAGGCGACGAUCCAUAGCCGACCUGAGAGGGUGACCGGCCACAUUGGGACUGAGACACGGCCCAAACUCCUACGGGUGGCAGCAGUGGGGAAUAUUGCACAAUGGGCGAAAGCCUGAUGCAGCGACGCCGCGUGAGCGAAGAAGUAUUUCGGUAUGUAAAGCUCUAUCAGCAGGGAAGAUAAUGACGGUACCUGACUAAGAAGCACCGGCUAAAUACGUGCCAGCAGCCGCGGUAAUACGUAUGGUGCAAGCGUUAUCCGGAUUUACUGGGUGUAAAGGGAGCGCAGGCGGUGCGGCAAGUCUGAUGUGAAAGCCCGGGGCUCAACCCCGGUACUGCAUUGGAAACUGUCGUACUAGAGUGUCGGAGGGGUAAGCGGAAUUCCUAGUGUAGCGGUGAAAUGCGUAGAUAUUAGGAGGAACACCAGUGGCGAAGGCGGCUUACUGGACGAUAACUGACGCUGAGGCUCGAAAGCGUGGGGAGCAAA